CCUACGGGAGGCUGCAGUGGGGAAUAUUGGACAAUGGGCGAAAGCCUGAUCCAGCCAUGCCGCGUGUGUGAAGAAGGCCUUCGGGUUGUAAAGCACUUUCAGUGGGGAAGAAAGCCUUGGGGCUAAUACCCUCGAGGAAGGACAUCACCCACAGAAGAAGCACCGGCUAACUCCGUGCCAGCAGCCGCGGUAAUACGGAGGGUGCGAGCGUUAAUCGGAAUUACUGGGCGUAAAGCGCGCGUAGGCGGUCUGAUAAGCCGGUUGUGAAAGCCCCGGGCUCAACCUGGGAACGGCAUCCGGAACUGUCAGGCUAGAGUGCAGGAGAGGAAGGUAGAAGUCCCGGUGUAGCGGUGAAAUGCGUAGAGAUCGGGAGGAAUACCAGUGGCGAAGGCGGCCUUCUGGACUGACACUGACGCCGAGGUGCGAAAGCGUGGGUAGCAAACAGGAUUAGAUACCCGAGUAGUC
RNAcentral lists this ribosomal RNA (465 nucleotides) under Vreelandella stevensii. RNAcentral's name for it is "partial 16S ribosomal RNA". It matches the Rfam family "Bacterial small subunit ribosomal RNA", at positions 338 to 795 of the family's 1533-position model. The record is from RNAcentral. Lineage: Bacteria; Pseudomonadati; Pseudomonadota; Gammaproteobacteria; Oceanospirillales; Halomonadaceae.